Molecule: ribosomal RNA, 387 nt
Filed under: uncultured eukaryote
Lineage: Eukaryota
Description: partial 18S ribosomal RNA
Rfam family: Eukaryotic small subunit ribosomal RNA
Source: RNAcentral
CAAUAGCGUAUAUUAAAGUUGUUGCAGUUAAAAAGCUCGUAGUUGGAUUUCUGGUGGGGCUGUCGGCCUGGCUCCGAAAGGGGUCGUGGUUUCGUUACACGCCUGGCCAUCCUCGGGGGAAGCUUUGCUGGCAUUAAGUUGUCGGCGGAGUGACGCUCGUCGUUUACUGUGAACAAAUUAGAGUGUUCAAAGCAGGCUUAGGCCGUUGAAUACAUUAGCAUGGAAUAAUGAGAUAGGACUUUGGUGGUCUAUUUUGUUGGUUUGCACGCCGAAGUAAUGAUUAAUAGGGGCGGUUGGGGGUAUUCGUAUUCAAUUGUCAGAGGUGAAAUUCUUGGAUUUAUGGAAGACGAACUACUGCGAAAGCAUUUACCAAGGAUGUUUUCAUUA